AGGGUUUCCCGCCCACUGGCCGGGCCGCGGCGCUCCGGUCCCGGGUCCCUAGAAACGGAAGGGGAGAUUCACCGGGAUGGCGGCGUUCCCGGACCCCUGAAGGCCCUGACUCCGGACCCAAGUGGGAUCGGCGACUCCUCUGCAGUCCAGGAAGAGUGGAAUGCAGGGAUUGCUUUGGUCCCCAGAAAUGGUCUGGGGAAAGAGGGUGGGUCUGACUCUGGAUCCCUGGAGGAGAAUGACCUCAACAUGGCCCUUCAGUGUUUCUUGAGAAGCACAACUGCUGUCACUGAGUCUACUAAACUGAUCUCGAGAGAAGGACAGCAUCCAGUUCUGAUUCCUCCCUAUAACCUUAGCGUCCAGUUGCAAGAUAAUAUAUUCAUGAUUCAAGAUUCAAGAAGUAUGUAAGAAUGGAAAUACAGUGAAACGUUACCCUGCUAUUUGGUCCUCGAAUCCUCCAAUUCUCAAGAGAAGGAAUUAGUUUACUUAUUUUUAAUUUCUAAGAACUCUUUCUUCUCCAAUUCUUCCUUUUUAAAGUACUUCAUAGACACAAUAUCUUUUCUUUGAGUUUUGAGAAUAGUUAUUGUAGCUUUUUCCCCAUGAAGUUUUCAGAAAGCUCCCUACUUUGUUAUUGUUUCCUUGGUUUCAAUUUUCUAUUUGUUUGUUUUGGUCUUUCAUAUUGGAAGGUUACUCAGAUGUUUAAUGGUCCUUUGCUGUCUAUUCAUAUUUAACAGUGAGAUACCAAAAAGUGGAUUGGAAGCUCAGUCUAUUUACAAGCUUUAUUAUUAAUGAAUAGGCUUCACUGUAGGGUGAUCAUGUGGGGGGAAAGCUGACAUUUUGUUGUUGAAGAAACCAAAAAUGUCAGUGUCAGUAUGCAUAGGCAUUUUUUUCCCUGCAGUUGUUUCUUUUCAUACUGGAGGUUCUGUCAGUGUGUGCUGAUGUUGAGUCUCACCGCUCAUAUAUUUUCACUUAAUUCUUCAUUUUCAAUCUAAUACCUCACCUCUAUCCCCACUAUGCCUGCUGCUGAAUGCAGAGGCUCUGAUAGUUUAAGUUCCCCUGGACAUUCUGAAAUUUCAUGGGCUUUUUCAUUCAUUAUGCUGGGCACUCAUGGACAGUUGGUCUGGAAACUUGUGACCUUUGGGCUUAGGAAACCUUAAGUCUAUCUUUGCUAACUUCCUCCCUACCAUUUCUCCAGAGACGGAAUCUCCCAUUUUAUGCAAGGGAGUAGGGGUAAUCACUUGGCUGGAUCAGAUGAGGUUGGGACUUGGUGGGGCUUUUUCUUAUACAGAUCAUCGUGUAAUCUCCUUCCACCCCACCCCUAGUUCUCAGCGUCAGUCCAUACCCUCCUCUGAGGUGCUGAACCUUUUAUGGGUUCAGAAGGGCACAUUGGCUUACUUCUUGCCAUUAACUCCCUCAGCAGGUAGAACCCAACUCAUUCUACUCUGUUAAGUGACUGUUGACUGUUCUGUUUUUCAUCUUCCAAAAUGUUGGCAUCUCUCAUUCAUUGUCACCUCCUAUUU
RNAcentral lists this long non-coding RNA (1517 nucleotides) under Homo sapiens (human). RNAcentral describes it as "non-protein coding lnc-ABCC5-3:3". Lineage: Eukaryota; Metazoa; Chordata; Mammalia; Primates; Hominidae. The record is from RNAcentral.